This 771-nucleotide ribosomal RNA is filed under the name Austrochloritis liverpoolensis. RNAcentral describes it as "partial large subunit ribosomal RNA". Lineage: Eukaryota; Metazoa; Mollusca; Gastropoda; Stylommatophora; Camaenidae. The record is from RNAcentral.
UUAAUUAUAAGAAAUAAUAUUUAUAAUCACGAAGUUGGUGGAGCUAAUUAUAUUAUAUAUUUAUAGAUAAUUAGAUGUUGCAUAAUUAAUUAAAUAAUAAUUAGGGGUGAUAGGCUUUUCACAUCCAACGAUAACUUGAUGGUUUAAGAAAUGUACUAGUACAUAAACACUCUUAAAGUGAUAAGGUUUUAAGAGAAUAACAAAUGAUUUUUAAUAAUAUGUAUUUUAUUUAAUCAUUAAUACGUUUAUGUUAUAAUAUUGAUUUAUUAAGGUUGUUUUAAUUAUUAACCAAUGAAAAUAAUUAAUAAGUAUACAUAUAUAAUGUUAAUAUUAGUAUUAAAAAGUUGUUAAUAAUGAACUCGGCAAGAAGUCUUUCAACUGUUUAUCAAAAACAUAGCUAUAUGAAUUAAUAUAUAGUGUUUUCUGCUCAAUGAAUAUUAAAUAGCCGCAGUACUCUGACUGUGCUAAGGUAGCGCAAUCAAUUGACUUUUAAAUGAAGUCCAGUAUGAAAGAAAUUAUGGGGGGCUACUUUCUCAUUAAUAAUAAGUGAAUUUACUUAGGAAGUGUAAAUUCUUUUAUAUAAAUAAUAGACGAGAAGACCCUAGAAAUUUUAAAGAAGUAUCUUUUUGUUGGGGCAACAAAGUAGCAUAAUAAACCUACUGAAAUUACAUGCAAGAUAUAUCUUGACAGAUUAAAUUACUCUAGGGAUAACAGCAUAAUUUGUUAAAGUUUGUGACCUCGAUGUUGGAUUAGGGAAUUUAAAUUUAGAAG